UACGAAGGGGGCUAGCGUUGCUCGGAAUCACUGGGCGUAAAGCGCACGUAGGCGGACUCUUAAGUCGGGGGUGAAAUCCUGGAGCUCAACUCCAGAACUGCCUUCGAUACUGGGAGUCUUGAGUUCGGGAGAGGUGAGUGGAACUGCGAGUGUAGAGGUGAAAUUCGUAGAUAUUCGCAAGAACACCAGUGGCGAAGGCGGCUCACUGGCCCGAUACUGACGCUGAGGUGCGAAAGCGUGGGGAG
This 245-nucleotide ribosomal RNA is filed under the name uncultured bacterium. RNAcentral's name for it is "partial 16S ribosomal RNA". It matches the Rfam family "Bacterial small subunit ribosomal RNA", at positions 524 to 768 of the family's 1533-position model. The record is from RNAcentral.